RNAcentral lists this ribosomal RNA (253 nucleotides) under uncultured bacterium. RNAcentral's name for it is "partial 16S ribosomal RNA". It matches the Rfam family "Bacterial small subunit ribosomal RNA", at positions 524 to 776 of the family's 1533-position model. The record is from RNAcentral.
UACGGAGGGGGCCAGCGUUAUUCGGAAUUACUGGGCGUAAAGGGCGCGUAGGCGGCCCGUUAAGUGAGAAGUGAAAGCCCUCGGCUUAACCGAGGAGGUGCUUCUCAUCCUGGCGAGCUAGAGAGUGGGAGAGGGAGACGGAAUUCCCGGUGUAGCGGUGAAAUGCGUAGAGAUCGGGAGGAACACCAGUGGCGAAGGCGGUUUCCUGGACCACAACUGACGCUGAGGCGCGAAAGCGUGGGGAGCAAACAGG